UAUUGGACAAUGGGGGCAACCCUGAUCCAGCCAUGCCGCGUGAGUGAUGAAGGCCUUCGGGUUGUAAAGCUCUUUUGGCGGGGACGAUGAUGACGGUACCCGCAGAAUAAGCCCCGGCUAACUUCGUGCCAGCAGCCGCGGUAAGACGAAGGGGGCUAGCGUUGUUCGGAAUUACUGGGCGUAAAGCGAGUGUAGGUGGUUUUCCAAGUUGGAUGUGAAAGCCUUGGGCUUAACCCAAGAAAUGCAUUCAGGACUGGAAGACUAGAGGACCGGAGAGGAUAGUGGAAUUCCCAGUGUAGUGGUGAAAUACGUAGAGAUUGGGAAGAACACCAGUGGCGAAGGCGGCUAUCUGGACGGUUCUGACGCUAAGACUCGAAA
RNAcentral lists this ribosomal RNA (378 nucleotides) under uncultured bacterium. RNAcentral describes it as "bacterial SSU rRNA". It matches the Rfam family "Bacterial small subunit ribosomal RNA", at positions 362 to 758 of the family's 1533-position model. The record is from RNAcentral.